GACGAACGCUGGCGGCGUGCUUAACACAUGCAAGUCGAGCGGUAAGGCCCUUUCGGGGGUACACGAGCGGCGAACGGGUGAGUAACACGUGGGUGACCUGCCCUCAGCUCUGGGAUAAGCCUGGGAAACCGGGUCUAAUACUGGAUAUGACUCCAUGACGCAUGUUGUGGGGUGGAAAGCCUUGUGCGGCUGAGGAUGGGCCCGCGGCCUAUCAGCUUGUUGGUGGGGNGAUGGCCUACCAAGGCGACGACGGGUAGCCGGCCUGAGAGGGCGACCGGCCACACUGGGACUGAGACACGGCCCAGACUCCUACGGGAGGCAGCAGUGGGGAAUCUUGCGCAAUGGGCGAAAGCCUGACGCAGCGACGCCGCGUGAGGGAUGACGG
This 385-nucleotide ribosomal RNA is filed under the name uncultured bacterium. RNAcentral describes it as "bacterial SSU rRNA". It matches the Rfam family "Bacterial small subunit ribosomal RNA", at positions 28 to 414 of the family's 1533-position model. The record is from RNAcentral.